Molecule: ribosomal RNA, 253 nt
Filed under: uncultured bacterium
Lineage: Bacteria
Description: partial 16S ribosomal RNA
Rfam family: Bacterial small subunit ribosomal RNA
Source: RNAcentral
UACGAAGGGGGCUAGCGUUGCUCGGAAUCACUGGGCGUAAAGCGCACGUAGGCGGAUCGUUAAGUCAGGGGUGAAAUCCUGGAGCUCAACUCCAGAACUGCCUUUGAUACUGGCGACCUUGAGUUCGGGAGAGGUGAGUGGAACUGCGAGUGUAGAGGUGAAAUUCGUAGAUAUUCGCAAGAACACCAGUGGCGAAGGCGGCUCACUGGCUCGGUACUGACGCUGAGGUGCGAAAGCGUGGGGAGCAAACAAG